UACAGAGGGUGCAAGCGUUGUUCGGAAUUAUUGGGCGUAAAGCGCGUGUAGGCGGCUUUGCAAGUCGGGUGUGAAAGCCCUCAGCUCAACUGAGGAAGUGCGCCCGAAACUGCAGAGCUUGAGUACCGGAGAGGGUGGCGGAAUUCCCCAAGUAGAGGUGAAAUUCGUAGAUAUGGGAGGAACACCGGUGGCGAAGGCGGCCACCUGGACGGUCACUGGACGCUGAGAACGCGAAAGCGUGGGGAGCAAACAGG
RNAcentral lists this ribosomal RNA (254 nucleotides) under uncultured bacterium. RNAcentral describes it as "partial 16S ribosomal RNA". It matches the Rfam family "Bacterial small subunit ribosomal RNA", at positions 524 to 776 of the family's 1533-position model. The record is from RNAcentral.